Gossypium arboreum is the source of this 107-nucleotide non-coding RNA. Lineage: Eukaryota; Viridiplantae; Streptophyta; Magnoliopsida; Malvales; Malvaceae. The record is from Rfam.
AACCCAUGCAUCGGACAUGUUUGAAGUAAUUACUUAAAUUGUUCCCAAGCUUCAUACAACCUUUCAUCCUUUAUUUGCUAAAAAGAUGUGUUGUCAUUUCUAAGCUU